AAGGAUUUAGUUUAAUUAAAGUGUUUGGUUCACAUCCAACCAAUGUAAGGUUAAACCCUUGCAAUCCUUA
RNAcentral lists this transfer RNA (70 nucleotides) under Erinaceus europaeus (western European hedgehog). It matches the Rfam family "tRNA". From Rfam's summary of the family: Transfer RNA (tRNA) molecules are approximately 80 nucleotides in length. Their secondary structure includes four short double-helical elements and three loops (D, anti-codon, and T loops). The record is from Rfam by way of RNAcentral. Lineage: Eukaryota; Metazoa; Chordata; Mammalia; Eulipotyphla; Erinaceidae.